UACGAGGGGUGCAAGCGUUGCUCGGAAUUAUUGGGCGUAAAGGGUAGGUAGGUGGUCUCAUUUGUCCGGGGUGAAAGCCUUGAGCUUAACUCAAGAAGUGCCCCGGAAACGGUGAGACUCGAGUACUGGAGAGGGUCGUGGAAUUCCCGGUGUAGCGGUGAAAUGCGUAGAUAUCGAGAGGAACACCUGCGGCGAAGGCGGGUAGCUGGGCCGACACUGACGCUGAGGCGCGAAAGCCAGGGGAGCGAACGGG
Molecule: ribosomal RNA, 253 nt
Filed under: uncultured bacterium
Lineage: Bacteria
Description: partial 16S ribosomal RNA
Rfam family: Bacterial small subunit ribosomal RNA
Source: RNAcentral